AUUGAACGCUGGCGGCAUGCUUUACACAUGCAAGUCGAACGGCAGCGCGGGCUUCGGCCUGGCGGCGAGUGGCGAACGGGUGAGUAAUGCAUCGGAGCGUGCCCAGUAGUGGGGGAUAGCCCGGCGAAAGCCGGAUUAAUACCGCAUACGACCUGAGGGGGAAAGCGGGGGACCGAAAGGCCUCGCGCUAUUGGAGCGGCCGAUGUCGGAUUAGCUAGUUGGUGGGGUAAAGGCUUACCAAGGCGACGAUCCGUAGCUGGUCUGAGAGGACGACCAGCCACACUGGGACUGAGACACGGCCCAGACUCCUACGGGAGGCAGCAGUGGGGAAUUUUGGACAAUGGGGGCAACCCUGAUCCAGCCAUGCCGCGUGCGGGAAGAAGGCCUUCGGGUUGUAAACCGCUUUUGUUCGGGAAGAAAUCCUCUGGGCUAAUACCCCGGGGGGAUGACGGUACCGGAAGAAUAAGCACCGGCUAACUACGUG
This 484-nucleotide ribosomal RNA is filed under the name uncultured bacterium. RNAcentral's name for it is "partial 16S ribosomal RNA". It matches the Rfam family "Bacterial small subunit ribosomal RNA", at positions 28 to 507 of the family's 1533-position model. The record is from RNAcentral.